This 2950-nucleotide ribosomal RNA is filed under the name Candidatus Providencia siddallii. Its description in RNAcentral is "bacterial LSU rRNA". It matches the Rfam family "Bacterial large subunit ribosomal RNA". Lineage: Bacteria; Pseudomonadati; Pseudomonadota; Gammaproteobacteria; Enterobacterales; Morganellaceae. The record is from RNAcentral.
GGUUAAGCAAUUAAGCGUACAUGGUGGAUGCCUAGGCAAUCAGAGGCGAUGAAGGACGUGCUAAUCUGCGAAAAGCGUCGGGAAGGUGAUAUGAACCAUUAUAUCCGGCGAUAUCCGAAUGGGGAAACCCAGUGCAUUUACUGCACUAUUGUUUGAUAAAUUAAUAGUCAAAUAAAGCAAACCGAGGGAACUGAAACAUCUAAGUACCUCGAGGAAAAGAAAUCAAUUGAGAUUCCCUUAGUAGUGGCGAGCGAAAAGGGAAAAGCCCAGAGUAUAAAUUCAAUAUUAAUAUUAGAAAAACGGUCUGGAAAGUCCGGCGAUAAUAGGUGAUAGCCCCGUAUUUGAAAGUUUUAAUAUUGUAAACUCGAAGAGUAAGGCGGGACACGUGUUAUCCUGUUUGAAUAUAGGGGGACCAUCCUCUAAGGCUAAAUACUCCUGAUUGACCGAUAGUGAACUAGUACCGUGAGGGAAAGGCGAAAAGAACCCCGGCGAAGGGGAGUGAAAUAGAACCUAAAACCGUGUACGUACAAGCAGUAGGAGCAUUUAAAAAAUGUGACUGCGUACCUUUUGUAUAAUGGGUCAGCGAGUUAUAUUCUGUAGCAAGGUUAACUGUAUAAGGAAGCCGUAGGGAAACCGAGUCUUAACUGGGCGAAUAGUUGCAGGGUAUAGACCCGAAACCCGGUGAUCUAGCCAUGAGCAGGUUGAAGGUUAAGUAACAUUAACUGGAGGACCGAACCGACUAAUGUUGAAAAAUUAGCGGAUGACUUGUGGCUGGGGGUGAAAGACCAAUCAAACCGGGAGAUAGCUGGUUCUCCCCGAAAGCUAUUUAGGUAGCGCCUUGUGAAUUCAUUUUCGGGGGUAGAGCACUGUUUCGGUCAGGGGGUUAUCCAAAUCUACCAAUCCGAUGCAAACUACGAAUACCGAAAAAUGUUAUCACUGGAGACACACGGCGAGUGCUAACGUUCGUCGUGAAGAGGGAAACAACCCAGAUCGCCAGCUAAGGUCCCAAAGUCAUAAUUAAGUGGGAAACGAAGUGGGAUGUCUUAGACAGCCAGGAUGUUGGCUUAGAAGCAGCCAUCAUUUAAAGAAAGCGUAAUAGCUCACUGGUCGAGUCAGCCUGCGCGGAAAAUAUAACGGGGCUAAAAUUAUGCACCGAAGCUGCGACAAUAGAUGCUUUUUAGUUUUUUAAUAUUUAUUUAAUUUUAUUAAGUUUAAAGCAUUUGUUGGGUAGGGGAGCGUUCUGUAAAUCUGUGAAUGUAUCUUGUGAAGGAUACUGGAGAUAUCAGAAGUGCGAAUGCUGACAUAAGUAACGAUAAUGCAGGUGAAAAACCUGCACGCCGAAAGACUAAGGUUUCCUGUCCAACGUUAAUCGGGGCAGGGUGAGUCGACCCCUAAGGUGAGGCUGAAAAGCGUAAUCGAUGGAAGACAGGUUAAUAUUCCUGUACUGAUAAUAAUUGCGAUGGGGGGACGAAGAAGGCUAGGCUAGCCAGGUGACGGUUGUCUUGGUUUAAGAAUGUAGGUGAGUAAAUUAGGCAAAUCCGGUUUACUAUACACUAAGGUUUGAUGACGAGUUAUUAAAACUAACGAAGUAGUUAAUGCCACGCUUACAAGAAAAUCCUCUAAGCUAUAAAUUAUUAUUAAUCGUACUACAAACCGACACUGGUAGUCAGGUAGAGAAUACUUAGGCGCUUGAGAGAACUCGGGUGAAGGAACUAGGCAAAAUGGUGCCGUAACUUCGGGAGAAGGCACGCUAAUAUUAAGUGAAGUGAUUUACUCAUGGAGCUGAAGUUAGCCGCAGAUACCAGCUAGCUGCAACUGUUUAUUAAAAACACAGCACUGUGCAAACACGAAAGUGGACGUAUACGGUGUGACGCCUGCCCGGUGCUGGAAGGUUAAUUGAUGGGGUUAUCCGAAAGGAGAAGCUCUUGAUCGAAGCCCCAGUAAACGGCGGCCGUAACUAUAACGGUCCUAAGGUAGCGAAAUUCCUUGUCGGGUAAGUUCCGACCUGCACGAAUGGCGUAAUGAUGGCUAGGCUGUCUCCACCCGAGACUCAGUGAAAUUGAAAUCGCUGUGAAGAUGCAGUGUACCCGCGGCAAGACGGAAAGACCCCGUGAACCUUUACUAUAGCUUGACACUGAGCAUUGAGUUUUAAUGUGUAGGAUAGGUGGGAGGCUUUGAAAUACAAACGCUAGUUCGUAUUGAGCCGAUCUUGAAAUACCACCCUUUAAUAUUUGGUGUUCUAACGUAGUCCCAUAAGCUGGGGCGCAGACAGUGUCUGGUGGGUAGUUUGACUGGGGCGGUCUCCUCCUAAAGAGUAACGGAGGAGCACAAAGGUUGGCUAAGCAUGGUUGGAAAUCAUGCAGUUAGUGCAAAGGCAUAAGCCAGCUUGACUGUAAGAGUGACGGCUCGAGCAGGUACGAAAGUAGGUCUUAGUGAUCCGGUGGUUCUGAAUGGAAAGGCCAUCGCUCAACGGAUAAAAGGUACUCCGGGGAUAACAGGCUAAUACCGCCCAAGAGUUCAUAUCGACGGCGGUGUUUGGCACCUCGAUGUCGGCUCAUCACAUCCUGGGGCUGAAGUAGGUCCCAAGGGUACGGCUGUUCGCCGUUUAAAGUGGUACGCGAGCUGGGUUUAGAACGUCGUGAGACAGUUCGGUUCCUAUCUGCCGUGGGCGUUGGAAGAUUGAAAGGGGCUGCUUCUAGUACGAGAGGACCGAAGUGGACGCACCGCUGGUGUUCGGGUUGUCAUGCCAAUGGCAUUGCCCGGUAGCUACGUGCGGAAAAGAUAACCGCUGAAAGCAUCUAAGCGGGAAACUUGCCUUAAGAUGAGUCUUCCCGAUUUUUUAAAAGAGAUCCUAAAGGAACGUUUUAGACAAAGACGUUGAUAGGCUGGGUGUGUAAGCAUAGCGAUAUGUUAAGCUAACCAGUACUAAUGAACCGUGAGGCUUAACCUA